GCUUUCUUGGCUCAGUUGGUUAGAGCGUUGGUCUCAUAUCUGCAUAGAGUGACUUAGCUUCAAGCUAGGGUUAUCCAAAGGUCGUGAGUUCGAACCUCACAGAGAGCA
Fusarium oxysporum f. sp. cubense is the source of this 108-nucleotide transfer RNA. It matches the Rfam family "tRNA". From Rfam's summary of the family: Transfer RNA (tRNA) molecules are approximately 80 nucleotides in length. Lineage: Eukaryota; Fungi; Ascomycota; Sordariomycetes; Hypocreales; Nectriaceae. The record is from Rfam.